This 878-nucleotide ribosomal RNA is filed under the name uncultured bacterium. Its description in RNAcentral is "bacterial SSU rRNA". It matches the Rfam family "Bacterial small subunit ribosomal RNA", at positions 59 to 936 of the family's 1533-position model. The record is from RNAcentral.
AAGUCGAGGGGUAAAUAUUGUAGCAAUACGAUAUGAGACCGGCGCACGGGUGCGUAACACGUAUGCAACCUACCUUUUACUGGGGUAUAGCUCCGAGAAAUCGGAAUUAAUCCCCCAUAACACUGCGAUGAGGCAUCUCGAUGCAGUUAAAGCUCCGGCGGUAAAGGAUGGGCAUGCGGUACAUUAGCUAGUUGGUGAGGUAAUGGCUCACCAAGGCUACGAUGUAUAGGGGGUCUGAGAGGAUGAUCCCCCACACUGGUACUGAGACACGGACCAGACUCCUACGGGAGGCAGCAGUAGGGAAUAUUGGUCAAUGGACGCAAGUCUGAACCAGCCAUGCCGCGUGCAGGAUGACAGCCCUAUGGGUCGUAAACUGCUUUUAUAAGGGAAGAAACCCCUGGAUGCGUCCGGGGCUGACGGUACCUUAUGAAUAAGGAUCGGCUAACUUCGUGCCAGCAGCCGCGGUAAGACGAAGGAUCCAAGCGUUGUCCGGAUUUACUGGGUUUAAAGGGUGCGUAGGCGGAGUGCUAAGUCAGUGGUGAAAGCCCGCAGCUUAACUGCGGAACUGCCAUUGAAACUGGCAUUCUUGAAUACGGUGGAGGUAGAUGGAAUAUAACAUGUAGCGGUGAAAUGCUUAGAUAUGUUAUAGAACACCGAUUGCGAAGGCAGUCUGCUACACCGUGAUUGACGCUGANGCACGAAAGCGUGGGGAGCAAACAGGAUUAGAUACCCUGGUAGUCCACGCCCUAAACGUUGAUUACUCGCUGUUGGCGAUACACUGUCAGCGGCUAAGCGAAAGCGUUAAGUAAUCCACCUGGGAAGUACGUCCGCAAGGAUGAAACUCAAAGGAAUUGACGGGGGCCNNCACAAGCGGAGGA